GCCCUGGUGGCACAAUGGUUAAGCGUUUGGUUGUUAACCAAAAGGUUGGUAGUUUGAAUCCACCCUAUGGCU
Molecule: transfer RNA, 72 nt
Filed under: Loxodonta africana (African savanna elephant)
Lineage: Eukaryota; Metazoa; Chordata; Mammalia; Proboscidea; Elephantidae
Rfam family: tRNA
About the family: Transfer RNA (tRNA) molecules are approximately 80 nucleotides in length. Their secondary structure includes four short double-helical elements and three loops (D, anti-codon, and T loops).
Source: Rfam by way of RNAcentral